This 72-nucleotide transfer RNA is filed under the name Amanita jacksonii TRTC168611. Its description in RNAcentral is "tRNA-Phe (GAA) (tRNA-Phe-GAA-3-1)". It matches the Rfam family "tRNA". From Rfam's summary of the family: Transfer RNA (tRNA) molecules are approximately 80 nucleotides in length. Their secondary structure includes four short double-helical elements and three loops (D, anti-codon, and T loops). Lineage: Eukaryota; Fungi; Basidiomycota; Agaricomycetes; Agaricales; Amanitaceae. The record is from RNAcentral.
GCCUCGGUUGCUUAGUGGUCAAAGCGUUAUACUGAAGAUAUAGAAAUGGAAGUUCAAUUCUCCCCCAAGGCA